UAUUUCGGAGAAGAAAUGGUACCCAAUCUAGUUUAUUUCGUUUUGUAAUCCUUAUAGUUGACAAUCUCUUGAAUGUGAUCAUUUCGAUUCCUGCCUUGCAAUUGCUUGACGCUGAAAUGAUUGAGCAUGCACAUUUUUUGAAGAUCUUAGGUUUCUGGUUUUAUUCUUUUGAUGGGACCAUCGUCGUUAUGAUUAGAAUUUGGAUUUAUUUGGUUCUUGGGGUAGAUUUUACUUUUUAUUAUGUGAAGUUGUUAUUGAGUGCCUCCUAUGAAACUUGAAAAAUGAUUGUUUUGGCAG
RNAcentral lists this unclassified non-coding RNA (297 nucleotides) under Hevea brasiliensis (rubber tree). The record is from RNAcentral. Lineage: Eukaryota; Viridiplantae; Streptophyta; Magnoliopsida; Malpighiales; Euphorbiaceae.